UAGGGAAUCUUCGGCAAUGGACGAAAGUCUGACCGAGCAACGCCGCGUGAGUGAAGAAGGUUUUCGGAUCGUAAAACUCUGUUGUUAGAGAAGAACAAGGACGUUAGUAACUGAACGUCCCCUGACGGUAUCUAACCAGAAAGCCACGGCUAACUACGUGCCAGCAGCCGCGGUAAUACGUAGGUGGCAAGCGUUGUCCGUAUUUAUUGGGCGUAAAGCGAGCGCAGGCGGUUUCUUAAGUCUGAUGUGAAAGCCCCCGGCUCAACCGGGGAGGGUCAUUGGAAACUGGGAGACUGGAGUGCAGAAGAGGAGAGUGGAAUUCCAUGUGUAGCGGUGAAAUGCGUAGAUAUAUGGAGGAACACCAGUGGCGAAGGCGGCUCUCUGGUCUGUAACUGACGCUGAGGCUAGAAAGCGUGGGGAGCAAACAGG
Molecule: ribosomal RNA, 429 nt
Filed under: Gemmatimonadota bacterium
Lineage: Bacteria; Pseudomonadati; Gemmatimonadota
Description: Gemmatimonadetes bacterium partial 16S ribosomal RNA
Rfam family: Bacterial small subunit ribosomal RNA
Source: RNAcentral